AUAAAAUUUUGCAAAUUCUAUCUAUCUAUUUAUAAAAUAUUUUUGUUUUAUAGUUUACAAUUGUUAUUAAGUAACGUCCUGUCAAACCCGUCCCGCCAACUCGUUCCGUAAAAAAAACUUAUCGAUCUUAUUUAUGAUAUAUUUAUGAAUCAUUGUCUAAAUAUUUUGUAAUUUUGUAGUAAUUAAAUGCUAUCAAAUAUCUCUGCGGUUUGAUGAUUAUAAUAUAAUUGUUAUAGUUAUGUAGAAAAACAAUAUAAAAAUGAUAAUUUUGUAGUAGUUAAA
This 282-nucleotide small RNA is filed under the name Arabidopsis thaliana (thale cress). Its description in RNAcentral is "ATSL172840". The record is from RNAcentral. Lineage: Eukaryota; Viridiplantae; Streptophyta; Magnoliopsida; Brassicales; Brassicaceae.